RNAcentral lists this ribosomal RNA (553 nucleotides) under uncultured bacterium. RNAcentral's name for it is "bacterial SSU rRNA". It matches the Rfam family "Bacterial small subunit ribosomal RNA", at positions 355 to 896 of the family's 1533-position model. The record is from RNAcentral.
UGAGGAAUAUUGCGCAAUGGGCGAAAGCCUGACGCAGCAACGCCGCGUGGGGGAUGAAGCUUUAUGGAGUGUAAACCCCUGUAAGUAGGGACGAAAGUUACCUAUUCGAAUAGGAUGGGUAUUUGACGGUACCUACAGAGUAAGCUCCGGCUAACUCCGUGCCAGCAGCCGCGGUAAUACGGGGGGAGCAAGCGUUGUCCGGAAUUACUGGGCGUAAAGGGCGUGUAGGCGGUAUUGUAAGUCAGAUGUAAAAGGCUACGGCUUAACCGUAGAUUGUCAUUUGAAACUGCAGUACUUGAGUGCGAGAGAGGGUAGUGGAAUUCCCAGUGUAGCGGUGAAAUGCGUAGAUAUUGGGAAGAACACCAGUAGCGAAGGCGGCUACCUGGCUCGUAACUGACGCUAAUGCGCGAAAGCGUGGGGAGCGAACAGGAUUAGAUACCCUGGUAGUCCACGCUGUAAACGAUGAACACUAGGUGUUGGUCCCGACGUGUCGGGAUCGGUGCCGCAGCAAACGCAUUAAGUGUUCCGCCUGGGGAGUACGAUCGCAAGGUUG